Long non-coding RNA from Cyprinus carpio (common carp), 356 nucleotides. The record is from Ensembl. NCBI's taxonomy places the organism in Eukaryota, Metazoa, Chordata, Actinopteri, Cypriniformes, Cyprinidae.
UUAUGGUAUUCUAUUCAAUGCAGUGAUAUUAAUAUACGCUUCUAAUACUGUUUGAAGCCAGUGUUUCAUAAUAAUAGAUUAUUCCUUUAAACCAGUCGUAUGGACCGAGUCUUGAUUUUGUCUUGAGGAGUGCAGCUGUGGUCAGGCAGAGGUUAAUGGUUCCGCGCUCUGGCGGCUGGGCAGGCGCGGAGCUGCGGCGCUCUGACGCGGGGAUGGAGAGCUCAGAGAUGCGCUGCUGCUGCUGCUCCGACAGGAUCCCGCGGCCUGCUGCUUUCUCCGCUCUUCUGCGCCGAAGCUUUAAAUCACGGAUUGGAGUUUCCUGGUGUGGAGUCCCCAAAGAAAAGAUACACCAAUAG